RNAcentral lists this long non-coding RNA (1100 nucleotides) under Catharus ustulatus (Swainson's thrush). RNAcentral's name for it is "lncRNA (ENSCUSG00005000135.1)". The record is from RNAcentral. Lineage: Eukaryota; Metazoa; Chordata; Aves; Passeriformes; Turdidae.
GUAAUAUAACCCAUAAUAAUAUAUCUGUAUACCCAUAAACUAUCUGUAUUUCUUCAGGUUCAGAGUGCAACAUGCUGUUAUAUCCAUACGUUUCAAAUUGCCAAGCUCAUUGCUUCUGCUGCCUAGUGAUAUUUUGCUAUUCACCUCUAGAGUCUGAACAAUGAAAUGUGAUGUUGUUUGCACUCCGGGCUACUUCAAAUACACAAAAUGCAUGCUUGGUCGGUUGGGAUUGGGAUUUUGUGUACUUUAUGAAGAGUUUGAAGGGAAAUCUGCUCAGACGUUGGAUGGCCUCCCUCUAGUGGCUGCUACUGUGGAACUAAAACAGGGCUGUGAGCUACCUACCCAAGGUUGUGCUUGCAUCAACCACUGUAUGCCAUGAAAGAAGAAAUAAUGGAGAAAAAUGCUCACAUUACCAUGACAACCUUCAUGGCUCUCUUCCAUAUCAAUCCACUUCACUGCUUCCACCUUCCCAUCAUGUGUUGGCCAUGGAUCCUGGGACAUCUGAAACUAGGUAACAGAAAAUCAAAUAGUUAGUCCUUUUAAGAGCUUUGAGCUCAGGUUCAUCUCCACUCUCUGGGACCUUUCUCCGAAGAACUGGGGUAAAAGGCUUUGGAAUACACAUCAACAGAUGUCUGGCUGCUAACAUGGUUGUCAAGUUUCUUCACUGAGAGAAGCUUUCAUGACACAGACAAGAUGUCAACCCAAAAGACCUAAAGAUUUAAUUUAAGAAAUAAAAUCCCUCUUCUGCAACAGCCUCAGUAUGAUACUGCACAUCAUCAUUCAUCCUCCCAACCAGCACUGCCCUCCAAGUGUUAUUUGAACACUGGGCCCUAACCAUAGUACAGUAAAUUCACGAAUACAAGCCGCACUGAGUAUAAGCCGCAUCUCUGGGUGUCGGCAAAUAUUUCGGGUUUUGUCCAUACACAAGCCGCACCUGAAUAUAAGCCGCUCUGUCAUUCGCAGCGAGGACCCGCAUGCAACAAAGUUGCCAAAUACUAACAGAACGGUGGCAUGGCGGGGUUUACUGGCUCAACUAAGGCUGUGCAGGCUCGGCCCGCUAGGGGCUGCUGACGGGGCCAGGUGGCCCAGCCCGGCGCUGC